RNAcentral lists this ribosomal RNA (253 nucleotides) under uncultured bacterium. RNAcentral describes it as "partial 16S ribosomal RNA". It matches the Rfam family "Bacterial small subunit ribosomal RNA", at positions 524 to 776 of the family's 1533-position model. The record is from RNAcentral.
UACGGAGGGUGCGAGCGUUGUCCGGAUUUAUUGGGUUUAAAGGGUGCGUAGGCGGCCGCGUAAGUCUGGGGUGAAAGCCCGUUGCUCAACAACGGAACUGCCCUGGAAACUGCGCGGCUUGAGUACAGACGAGGUUGGCGGAAUGGGCGGUGUAGCGGUGAAAUGCAUAGAUACCGUCCAGAACACCGAUUGCGAAGGCAGCUGACUAGGCUGUUACUGACGCUGAGGCACGAAAGCGUGGGGAGCGAACAGG